GCAUAAUCUCUACGGAGAAAAGCAGGGGAUCGCAACACCUUGCGCUUUUGGAGCGGCCGAUGUCUGAUUAACUAGUUGGUGAGGUAAAGGCUUACCAAGGCGUCGAUCAGUAGCUGGUCUGAGAGGACGACCAGCCACACCGGGACUGAGACACGGCCCAGACUCCUACGGGAGGCAGCAGUGGGGAAUUUUGGACAAUGGGGGAAACCCUGAUCCAGCCAUGCCGCGUGAGUGAAGAAGGCCUUCGGGUUGUAAAGCUCUUUCAGCCGGAACGAAACGGUCACAGCUAAUACCUGUGAUUACUGACGGUACCGGAAGAAGAAG
This 324-nucleotide ribosomal RNA is filed under the name uncultured beta proteobacterium. RNAcentral describes it as "bacterial SSU rRNA". It matches the Rfam family "Bacterial small subunit ribosomal RNA", at positions 171 to 490 of the family's 1533-position model. Lineage: Bacteria; Pseudomonadati; Pseudomonadota; Betaproteobacteria. The record is from RNAcentral.